RNAcentral lists this ribosomal RNA (489 nucleotides) under Triticum aestivum (bread wheat). RNAcentral's name for it is "partial small subunit ribosomal RNA". Lineage: Eukaryota; Viridiplantae; Streptophyta; Magnoliopsida; Poales; Poaceae. The record is from RNAcentral.
AUGCACCCGCACACACUCACCCAACUCUCUCUCCGCCGCCGCCAUCUAGAUCUCGGCUGGUUGAUUCCGACGGCGCGCAUCACACUCCUCCUGUGCUCGCCUCGCGCCGCUGCGUCCACCCAUCCGGCUGGAUUCGCCGCUCCCCGGUGGCAAGGGCUUCAGUCGCCUCCAACUCCGGCGACUCCGGCGGUUCAUCUCCGACGCCUACCCAGCCCCCGCGUGCAGCUCUGUCUCCUGGAUGAAUUUGUCCUGCUCGAGGACGACCAGUUCUUCCUCAACCUCCAAGGACGCCCGCCAUCGUCGAGCCUCCCUCCGUGGGAUGCCAUGGAGAUGAAACUCCCCUCGACCAGGGAAUUCAAGGGCAUGUGGGAGAGAGAGGAGGUCCAUGGAGAAGAUGCUCUGCUCCAACCCUCCCUGCCUCCUACUACAAGAUGUCUUUUUUGUGUGUGCUUGUAUUGCAGCAGCCAUCAGCAGCAGCAGGCCGAGUGA